AUACGGAGGGUGCAAGCGUUAAUCGGAAUUACUGGGCGUAAAGCGCGCGUAGGCGGUUUGGUAAGUCGGAUGUGAAAGCCCCGGGCUCAACCUGGGAAUUGCAUUCGAUACUGCCGAACUAGAGUAUGGUAGAGGGAAGUGGAAUUUCCGGUGUAGCGGUGAAAUGCGUAGAUAUCGGGAGGAACACCAGUGGCGAAGGCGGCCACCUGGACCAAGACUGACGCUGAGGGACGAAAGCGUGGGGAGCAAACAGGAUUAGAAACCCUAGUAGUCC
This 274-nucleotide ribosomal RNA is filed under the name uncultured bacterium. RNAcentral's name for it is "partial 16S ribosomal RNA". It matches the Rfam family "Bacterial small subunit ribosomal RNA", at positions 523 to 796 of the family's 1533-position model. The record is from RNAcentral.